GUUGUGAAAUGUUGGGUUAAGUCCCGCAACGAGCGCAACCCUUAUCCUUUGUUGCCAGCGAUUAGGUCGGGAACUCAAAGGAGACUGCCAGUGAUAAACUGGAGGAAGGUGGGGAUGACGUCAAGUCAUCAUGGCCCUUACGACCAGGGCUACACACGUGCUACAAUGGCGCAUACAAAGAGAAGCGACCUCGCGAGAGCAAGCGGACCUCAUAAAGUGCGUCGUAGUCCGGAUUGGAGUCUGCAACUCGACUCCAUGAAGUCGGAAUCGCUAGUAAUCGUGGAUCAGAAUGCCACGGUGAAUACGUUCCCGGGCCUUGUACACACCGCCCGUCACACCAUGGGAGUGGGUUGCAAAAGAAGUAGGUAGCUUAACCUUCGGGAGGGCGCUUACCACUUUGUGAUUCAUGACUGGGGUGAAGUCGUAACAAGGUAACCGUAGGGGAACCUGC
Molecule: ribosomal RNA, 451 nt
Filed under: Salmonella enterica
Lineage: Bacteria; Pseudomonadati; Pseudomonadota; Gammaproteobacteria; Enterobacterales; Enterobacteriaceae
Description: bacterial SSU rRNA
Rfam family: Bacterial small subunit ribosomal RNA
Source: RNAcentral